UGUGUGUGUGUGUGUGUGUGUGUGUGUGUGUGUGUGUGUGUGUACACCUCACAGGGCCCCCUUAAAGGAGUAGUCCCUCGCCUGCCCUCAUCCACCCCGGCCCCUACCCUCGAGCCAGACCGCAAGUCCCAGCUCCGACCAGCAGGGGGGGACCUCGUCCACCGAAUCCGCAGCUGCUGGGCUUCCUCUAACACAAAUCCUGGGUCUGGGCCCUAGCCACGCAGGGGUACGGGGAGUCCCUCAGGCCCGGGUCCCCUAGGCCACCAGGAAGCAGCUACCCCCAGCCCACUAUCCGGGAGAGGAUGCAGAAGAGAGAGGACCCCUAUCCCUCUCGCCCCCACAGGACUCAGGGCUGCUGGGGACCAGACCUGGAAACCUGGCUCCGUGUGUCACACCCAAGUACACACGUGCUCAGUCACCCCCUGAGCCUCUGCUCCACCUGGAAAUGGAAGCCGGGAAAAGCCUUGAUUCUCCUAUGGGAGGUUUCCUACUCCUCCCCUCCCCCUCUGCCCAGGGCCUGCUGGUUUUCACCUGGUAGGACAGGGGGCAAGCUGAGCUCCUGGAAGAAAGCUGGAGUAGGGCACUUGGAGAGCAUGGACAAGGUUGGAAGUCGGCCUUAGAAGAAUGGGGAGAGGGAGAGCUGACUGAGGACGGUGUAAGGAUGGCUGAGCAGAGCCGUGACCCCCACUGAAGCCAGAGACCGUGGACUCUUCGUGGCAGAAGCCUGCAUGCUGGGCGAGUUGUUCUAGCGGCGCUCAAUGGCGCAGAUCCGGAUGGGGCCAGAGGGCGGUGGAGGAGAAAGGAACGGAGACAUGCAGGGGCCGGGGUGGAGAAAAGGGGUGGGCGUGCAGGACAGUGGAGGCACUGAUGCCAGGGGAUCUGGCUGGGGAGGGGAGGGUGAGGCCAGGAAAGGGAAUGGAAGAGGGUGCGUGAACAGAGCCUGUAACCAGAGCUGGGCUAUUCCACUUGAAGAUUUCAGAGAGCUCAGACCUAGGUGGGAUGGGUAUAAGGCUGGCUGGAAUGAAGUAGAUAUGAAAGUCACCUGCCUCCAGGAGGUCAAGCAGCUUUUAUUCAUUCAUUCUUUCAUCAAUAAAUAUUUAUUGAGCACGAGGCACCCGGGUGGCUCAGUAGGUUAAGCGUCUGCCUUUGGCUCAGGUUAUGAUCCCAGGGUCCUGG
Zalophus californianus (California sea lion) is the source of this 1176-nucleotide long non-coding RNA. RefSeq lists it as uncharacterized. NCBI's taxonomy places the organism in Eukaryota, Metazoa, Chordata, Mammalia, Carnivora, Otariidae. The record is from RefSeq and is a predicted model, not a curated record. The transcript is spliced from 3 exons.